AGCGCUCAGGCAGUUUCGCUACGACUUUCAGCCAACCCACAACCUCCGUUACUAACACUAAUAUCAUUUUAUUAUAACGCGCUCGUUUGCUGAGAAACGUGACAUCGAACUGACACACCGAUGACGUAAUGUGACAGCUGUCACCGUGACGGUCCGGCUGUCGGGCGGAGGGAGACAGUGAGUGAUCGAGCAGGACGGAACGAUUGCGUGUUUACAACAUAAGUCACUGGACAGGAAGAAGGCAGACGAAAAUAUGCAGAGCGCGAGUCGUUGAGGCGGCGCCAGAGGACUUCAUUAUGCCAAACAAUGCACGCGGAGACGUGCGUACUGCGCUCACGUGCUCGUGGCCGUGUGUGUGUGUCGCGAUAGUCGAGCGUCACAGAGUAGCGGUAUCGGUAGGUAGUUCGGCGGUGAACUGGCUGCGAGCUUGUCGUGGAAGAAGCGAGGCGGCCCCGCAUCCGUCACCGGCGUGGACGGAAUAGUAAUCACCGACUUACCACAAAUGACUGCUCCUACCACUCCGACCACGACGCUUGAGACAAACGGCAAUGUCCCACUGCUAAUUUGGAAUCUGUUUCUUAAUCUAAUGUACUAUUA
Molecule: long non-coding RNA, 597 nt
Organism: Leptidea sinapis
Lineage: Eukaryota; Metazoa; Arthropoda; Insecta; Lepidoptera; Pieridae
Exons: 3
Source: RefSeq, a predicted model, not a curated record